RNAcentral lists this ribosomal RNA (253 nucleotides) under uncultured bacterium. Its description in RNAcentral is "partial 16S ribosomal RNA". It matches the Rfam family "Bacterial small subunit ribosomal RNA", at positions 524 to 776 of the family's 1533-position model. The record is from RNAcentral.
UACGUAGGGUGCGAGCGUUGUCCGGAAUUACUGGGCGUAAAGAGCUCGUAGGUGGUUUGUCGCGUUGUUCGUGAAAACUCACAGCUUAACUGUGGGCGUGCGGGCGAUACGGGCAGACUGGAGUACUGCAGGGGAGACUGGAAUUCCUGGUGUAGCGGUGGAAUGCGCAGAUAUCAGGAGGAACACCGAUGGCGAAGGCAGGUCUCUGGGCCGCAACUGACGCUGAGGAGCGAAAGCAUGGGGAGCGAACGGG